UUCUUUAUCCAUUCAUCUAUCAGUGGACACUUGGUUGCUUCCAUAAUUUGGCUAUUGUAAAUAAUGCUGAAAUAAACAUAAGGGAUGCAUAUAUCCCUUAGUAUUAGUGAUUUUGUAUUAUUACUGGGUAAAUACUCAAUAGUGUGAUUGCUGGAUUAUAAGGAUGAUCCAUCCAUAUUACUCAUUUUCA
Long non-coding RNA from Prionailurus viverrinus (fishing cat), 190 nucleotides. RefSeq lists it as uncharacterized. Lineage: Eukaryota; Metazoa; Chordata; Mammalia; Carnivora; Felidae. The record is from RefSeq and is a predicted model, not a curated record. The transcript is spliced from 4 exons.